This 717-nucleotide ribosomal RNA is filed under the name uncultured bacterium. Its description in RNAcentral is "bacterial SSU rRNA". It matches the Rfam family "Bacterial small subunit ribosomal RNA", at positions 161 to 859 of the family's 1533-position model. The record is from RNAcentral.
AAAUAAUACUCAAUAGUCUCAUUUUAUCUUCGGAUAAUAAUGAGUAAAGAUUUUUCGAUUAGGGAUAGGCCUGCGUCUUAUCAGGUUGUUGGCGGGGUAAAGGCCCACCAAGCCUAUGACGAGUAGGGGACCUGAGAGGGUGACCCCCCAGACUGGGACUGAGAUACGGCCCAGACUCCUACGGGAGGCAGCAAUUAGGAAUCUUGCACAAUGGACGAAAGUCUGAUGCAGCGACGUCGCGUGGAGGAUGAAGGUUUUCGGAUCGUAAACUCCUUUUAUAGUCGAACAAGUUCUGAGUGUAGACUAUGAAUAAGAUGCUUCUAACUACGUGCCAGAAGAAUCGGUGAUACGUAGGCAUCAAGCGUUAUCCGGAAUUACUGGGCGUAAAGAGACGCGUAGGUGUUUUAGUAAGUCUUCUGUUAAAUCCUGCAGCUUAACUGUGGAACUGCGGAAGAAACUACAAAAAUUGAGGUAUUCAGGGGAAAGGGGAAUUCCUGGUGGAGCGGUGAAAUGCGUUGAUAUCAGGAGGAACACCAAUAGCGAAGGCACCUUUCUGGGAAUUACCUGACACUAAGGCUCGAAAGCUAGGGGAGCAAAACGGAUUAGAUACCCGUGUAGUCCUAGCUGUAAACGAUCCCUAUUAGAUAUUUGACUUGGCCUUUAAGUUCUUUCUUCGUGAGGGAAUGAUGGGGCCGGUGAAGUGUCACAGCUAACGCA